RNAcentral lists this ribosomal RNA (797 nucleotides) under uncultured Bolidomonas. RNAcentral's name for it is "partial Eukaryotic large subunit ribosomal RNA". It matches the Rfam family "Eukaryotic large subunit ribosomal RNA", at positions 1 to 834 of the family's 3401-position model. The record is from RNAcentral. Lineage: Eukaryota; Bolidophyceae.
GAUCUCAAAUUAAGUAAGAAGACCCGCUGAAUUUAAGCAUAUAAUUAAGCGGAGGAAAAGAAACUAACCAGGAUUCCCCUAGUAAGGGCGACUGAAGCGGGAAGAGCUCAAAAUGUGAAUCUAAUAGCCUUAGCUGGCUGUUCGAAUUGUGGUCUACAGAUUUGGAUUUGGAGCGCGCGGCGGGAUAAGUCCAUUGGAACAUGGCGGCAGAGAGGGUGAGACCCCCGUUCAUGCCUUCCGCGUCAACCUUAACAUUCCUUAUCAAUGAGUCGAGUUGCUUGGGAUUGCAGCUCAAAGUGGGUGGUAAAUUCCAUCUAAAGCUAAAUAUUGGUGGGAGACCGAUAGCGAACAAGUACCGUGAGGGAAAGAUGCAAAGAACUUUGAAAAGAGAGUUAAAGAGUACCUGAAAUUGCUGAAAGGGAAGCGAAGGAAACCAGUGUCGAGUUUGUGCAUAUUACUGGCGCCUAGUGGCGUCAGGCCGUGUGCUUACUCGGGUCAGUAUCGGUUUACAUCUGGGGUGAAACGGUUGCCUGCGUUUUGCGCGGCUUCUCCGACUCCGGUAAGACCGAGGCCAGUCUCGCAAGAGCUCGUGAUACUGACGAAAUGGUUUUCUUUACCCCGUCUUGAAACACGGACCAAGGAGUCUAACAUAUGUGCGAGUAUAGGGGUGGCAAACCCCCAUGCGUAAUGAAAGUGACAGUGGUGGGACCUUUGGGCACCAUCCGCCGGCCUCUUGACUUCGGUCUAUCGGUCUGAGUGUGAGCAUACAUGUUGGGACCCGAAAGAUGGUGAACUAU